Molecule: long non-coding RNA, 1356 nt
Organism: Xenopus laevis (African clawed frog)
Lineage: Eukaryota; Metazoa; Chordata; Amphibia; Anura; Pipidae
Exons: 3
Source: RefSeq, a predicted model, not a curated record
CUGUAGUUUAGUUCAAUCAGCUCACUUUGUUAGGGCUUUUAAUUCUUGCCACCUGAUUCAGUUUACAGGUGAGAUGUGUUAAGUGGAUGAUUUCUUAAUGGAUCUGCACACACACAAUUUUUGACAUUUGGGGGGAGGGGAAUUCCCUCUUUUAUUGUGCCAGCAAUGUUGUUUGGCUAACAAAAGGUGUAAAGUAAGUACCCCAACAGCAAAGAAUUUGUGUGUAGAUCUGUUUGUAAAGAUUGUACUACUACACAAUGGACAUAACUACACCAUUGGAAUAGUCAACACAACAGACAACUGGAAUCAAUUACUAUAAUAUAUUUUGGUUUACAUUUUUAGGAGACGCAGGAUAUGGACUUCUGCCUUGGUUGAUGACCCCUGUGAGGUUUGCCCAAACACCUGCCCAACGUAGGUACAAUCGUGCCCAUCAGAAGACACGUAAUAUCAUUGAGCGCCUCUUUGGGGUGCUCAAAUCUCGCUUCCGAUGCCUCUCAGUCACUGGGGGAGCUCUGCUUUAUUCCCCCCAGAAGGUUUCACAAAUCAUCACUGUCUGUGCCAUGCUGCAUAAUGUGGCAAGGCAGCAUGGAUUACCUGCAGACAUUGAUGAUGACCUGGAACCUGAGAUUGAGGGGUAUGUUGCCAGACAGAGGGACAACCAACCAGAGGGAAGAAGAGUGCGUGAAAGGCUCAUCCGUGCCCACUUUUAGUUCCUGCUGAUGGUGAUGUGCUGGCGUGCCCCUAGCAGUGAAUGCUUUCCUGUAACAUCUUAUGCUCUUUCUGGCCUCCUACUGUGUUAUGGUUGUGGUUCAUGUGUGUCGUACUCAACUUUAUUAUCUUGGUACUUGCCCACAGAGGAUACAGACAUGGACACUGACUGAUUGGCCACACCUCAAACUCCUUUAUUCAGGUAUUUAGGAAUUACUCAGGGAAUGUAAAAAUAUAUUGCUAACAACUUACCAUAUUAUUGAUGUGACUUUGCAGCCUCUCCAUGUGCAAACUUUUCCUGACCCACUAAAUUGGACUCAACACAACAGACAGAUGUGAUGAACUGAAAGCUGUUUGGCUCAUUUGAACCUGGGUGGAGUCACCUUUCAAUAACAUAUCAGUAAGUGGCAGUGUUUGUUUAGCAAUGACAGGCUUUUGUGUGGCUACUUAAAUUUUUUUGGAUUUGUGUUAAUGCAUUUUUCUUGUUUGAUCCACAGGUAUGGCUUCUUCUGUUUUCUUGCUUGAAAUGACAUUACCCAUGUUACUAUUUUGGACUAGCACCUUGUCAAAAAAUAAAAAACAAACACACCCAGUAAUGUUUUAGUGGCUUUACUGACACAAUCUUGGUCAAAAUCCAAAACAGUUGAA